RNAcentral lists this ribosomal RNA (429 nucleotides) under Verrucomicrobiota bacterium. RNAcentral's name for it is "Verrucomicrobia bacterium partial 16S ribosomal RNA". It matches the Rfam family "Bacterial small subunit ribosomal RNA", at positions 355 to 776 of the family's 1533-position model. The record is from RNAcentral. Lineage: Bacteria; Pseudomonadati; Verrucomicrobiota.
UAGGGAAUCUUCCGCAAUGGACGAAAGUCUGACGGAGCAACGCCGCGUGAGUGAAGAAGGAUUUCGGCUCGUAAAACUCUGUUGUUAGGGAAGAAAAAAUGUAUAGUAACUAUAUACAAAAGAGACGGUACCUAACCAGAAAGCCACGGCUAACUACGUGCCAGCAGCCGCGGUAAUACGUAGGUGGCAAGCGUUGUCCGGAAUUAUUGGGCGUAAAGCGCGCGCAGGUGGUUUAGAAAGUCUGAUGUGAAAGCCCACGGCUCAACCGUGGAGGGUCAUUGGAAACUAAUAAACUUGAGUGCAGGAGAGAAAAGUGGAAUUCCUAGUGUAGCGGUGAAAUGCGUAGAGAUUAGGAGGAACACCGGUGGCGAAAGCGGCUUUUUGGCCUGCAACUGACACUGAGGCGCGAAAGCGUGGGGAGCAAACAGG